This 300-nucleotide long non-coding RNA is filed under the name Setaria viridis. Its description in RNAcentral is "long non-coding RNA (SVIR_LNC004690)". The record is from RNAcentral. Lineage: Eukaryota; Viridiplantae; Streptophyta; Magnoliopsida; Poales; Poaceae.
UGGGGUGAGGGUGGGAAACAUUUGGGGGAGGAAUGUAUCCGUGGGCGAGGGAGAUUUUUGAGGGUUGAGCAUGCGCAGGUAACAAAGAUUUGGAGGCUAAGCACACAUGCGCGAGAAAGAUUGCAUGGCAGCGGUGGGAAAUUGGGGAGCCGUAGCAUUUUUGCCUAGAGAGAGAGAGAGAGAAAGCAACGGCAACUUCGGACUCGGGAGGAAGGGUUGCGGUGGCUUAGGGUUUUGGAGAGGUUAGGGUUUGUUUUGUUAGGCCCGGUGUAAUUUUGGCAUGGGAGUAGGCCAUGUAAG